UGGGGAAUAUUGGACAAUGGGGGCAACCCUGAUCCAGCGAUGCCGCGUGGGUGAAGAAGGCCUUCGGGUUGUAAAGCCCUUUAGGUUGGGACGAAGGUCGUAUGGGGAAUAUCCAUGCGAUUUGACGGUACCGACAGAAUAAGCACCGGCAAACUCUGUGCCAGCAGCCGCGGUAAUACAGAGGGUGCAAGCGUUAAUCGGAAUUACUGGGCGUAAAGGGCGCGUAGGCGGUUGCGUGAGUGUGAUGUGAAAGCCCUGGGCUUAACCUAGGAAGUGCAUCGCAAACGACGUAACUGGAGUAUAAGAGAGGGUGGCGGAAUUUCCGGUGUAGCGGUGAAAUGCGUAGAGAUCGGAAGGAACGUCAAUGGCGAAGGCAGCCACCUGGCUUAAUACUGACGCUGAGGCGCGAAAGCGUGGGGAGCGAACAGGAUUAGAUACCCCGGUAGUCC
RNAcentral lists this ribosomal RNA (449 nucleotides) under uncultured bacterium. RNAcentral's name for it is "bacterial SSU rRNA". It matches the Rfam family "Bacterial small subunit ribosomal RNA", at positions 355 to 796 of the family's 1533-position model. The record is from RNAcentral.